UACGUAGGUGGCAAGCGUUGUCCGGAAUUAUUGGGCGUAAAGCGCGCGCGGGCGGUUUGCUAAGUCCAUCUUAAAAGUGCGGGGCUUAACCCCGUGAUGGGAUGGAAACUGGCAGACUGGAGUAUCGGAGAGGAAAGCGGAAUUCCUAGUGUAGCGGUGAAAUGCGUAGAGAUUAGGAAGAACACCGGUGGCGAAGGCGGCUUUCUGGACGACAACUGACGCUGAGGCGCGAAAGCGUGGGGAGCAAACAGG
This 252-nucleotide ribosomal RNA is filed under the name uncultured bacterium. RNAcentral describes it as "partial 16S ribosomal RNA". It matches the Rfam family "Bacterial small subunit ribosomal RNA", at positions 524 to 776 of the family's 1533-position model. The record is from RNAcentral.